GAUGAACGCUGGCGGCGUGCCUAAUACAUGCAAGUCGAGCGAACAGACGAGGAGCUUGCUCCUCUGACGUUAGCGGCGGACGGGUGAGUAACACGUGGAUAACCUACCUAUAAGACUGGGAUAACUUCGGGAAACCGGAGCUAAUACCGGAUAAUAUAUUGAACCGCAUGGUUCAAUAGUGAAAGACGGUUUUGCUGUCACUUAUAGAUGGAUCCGCGCCGCAUUAGCUAGUUGGUAAGGUAACGGCUUACCAAGGCUACGAUGCGUAGCCGACCUGAGAGGGUGAUCGGCCACACUGGAACUGAGCCACGGUCCAGACGCCUACGGGAGGCAGCAGUAGGGAAUCUUCCGCAAUGGGCGAAAGCCUGACGAAGCAACGCCGCGUGAGUGAUGAAGGUCUUCGGAUCGUAAAACUCUGUUAUUAGGGAAGAACAAAUGUGUAAGUAACUAUGCACGUCUUGACGGUACCUAAUCAGAAAGCCACGGCUAACUACGUG
RNAcentral lists this ribosomal RNA (497 nucleotides) under uncultured bacterium. Its description in RNAcentral is "partial 16S ribosomal RNA". It matches the Rfam family "Bacterial small subunit ribosomal RNA", at positions 28 to 507 of the family's 1533-position model. The record is from RNAcentral.